This 253-nucleotide ribosomal RNA is filed under the name uncultured bacterium. RNAcentral describes it as "partial 16S ribosomal RNA". It matches the Rfam family "Bacterial small subunit ribosomal RNA", at positions 524 to 776 of the family's 1533-position model. The record is from RNAcentral.
UACGGAGGGGGCUAGCGUUGUUCGGAAUUACUGGGCGUAAAGCGCACGUAGGCGGUUUUGUAAGUUAGAGGUGAAAGCCCGGAGCUCAACUUCGGAAUUGCCUUUGAGACUGCGUCGCUCGAAUCCGGGAGAGGCGGGUGGAAUUCCGAGUGUAGAGGUGAAAUUCGUAGAUAUUCGGAAGAACACCAGUGGCGAAGGCGGCCCGCUGGACCGGCAUUGACGCUGAGGUGCGAAAGCGUGGGGAGCAAACAGG